Molecule: ribosomal RNA, 508 nt
Filed under: uncultured bacterium
Lineage: Bacteria
Description: partial 16S ribosomal RNA
Rfam family: Bacterial small subunit ribosomal RNA
Source: RNAcentral
GAUGAACGCUAGCUAUAGGCUUAACACAUGCAAGUCGAGGGGAAACGAUAGAGAAAGCUUGCUUUUUCUAGGCGUCGACCGGCGCACGGGUGAGUAACGCGUAUCCAACCUGCCCACCACUUGGGGAUAACCUUGCGAAAGUAAGACUAAUACCCAAUGAUAUCUCUAGAAGACAUCUGAAAGAGAUUAAAGAUUUAUCGGUGAUGGAUGGGGAUGCGUCUGAUUAGCUUGUUGGCGGGGUAACGGCCCACCAAGGUGCGGAUCAGUAGGGGUUCUGGGAGGAAGAUCCCCCACAUUGGAACUGAGACACGGUCCAAACUCCUACGGGAGGCAGCAGUGAGGAAUAUUGGUCAAUGGGCUAGAGCCUGAACCAGCCAAGUAGCGUGCAGGAUGACGGCCCUAUGGGUUGUAAACUGCUUUUAUAAGGGAAUAAAGUGAGUCUCGUGAGACUUUUUGCAUGUACCUUAUGAAUAAGGACCGGCUAAUUCCGUGCCAGCCGCCGCGGUAA